This 109-nucleotide unclassified non-coding RNA is filed under the name uncultured Cryptococcus. RNAcentral describes it as "sequence contains ITS1". The record is from RNAcentral. Lineage: Eukaryota; Fungi; Basidiomycota; Tremellomycetes.
AAGAUUGGCCGAGAGGCCUUUAUCUAUAUCCCUCACCUCUGUGGACCGUUGACCCUCGGGUCUAUUACAAAUAUCAGUGUAAAUGAACGUGAAUAACAUUAACAAAACA